Molecule: long non-coding RNA, 1052 nt
Organism: Chinchilla lanigera (long-tailed chinchilla)
Lineage: Eukaryota; Metazoa; Chordata; Mammalia; Rodentia; Chinchillidae
Exons: 2
Source: RefSeq, a predicted model, not a curated record
GCGUGCGCCGCCAUGCCUGGCCUUGAGGUUUAUUUUUAAAGUAAGGCUUUUUUCCAUUUUCACCAUUAUGGAUGGAAAUCUUUAAGGCUGUUAUUUGACUCCUUGUCUUCACAAGAAGACAUAGGACAUGCUGUGUUCCUGCCACCAAAUUGUAAUGAUGAUUUGAACCUCAGUACCUGGGGGUGGCAGAGAGGUGCCCCUGGCUUUGAAAACUCAGAAAGAAGGCAAAUAAUAUUGCUGUUUGUUUUUUGUUUUUGUUCCAGUACCAGGAAUCGAACUCAUGACCUUGUGCUUGCCAGGCAGGUGCUUUGCUGCUGAGCUAAAUCCCCAGCCCUUAUUGCUCUGAACUUAGCCUGGCAAUUCCUGCUGAUCAGCCAGCUAAGGGAGGAAACCAAGAGGAGAUGUCCCAGCUUUUGGGACACGGUGACUGUGACUCAGAAGGGCCAGGCGGCCACUGCAGGUGGGCAGGAAGACAGCGUGGCUGCAAGUCACUAAGCAGAAAGCUCAGUGUGUUUCCUGCGCUGCCCAGGAGGCCCAGGGCAGGGAAGAGGCACUGGGCGUGGCCCCAAGCUGUGCGUCAGGAAGUGCAGAGCCCGACGCGGAUGGCGUUUGUCCAGUUGCAGGGAAGGGGAGCAGGACCCUGGACCCACCGGGGAUGGGCGCAGUGGGACAGGGAUAUCUGCCAGGUGCUUCUUGAGUGAAAAGACCCGCUUCCUUCACUGGCUCUGAUUCCACAAGCCCCGGAAACCACAUGACGGCUCCGUCUGUCUCUAUCUGUCUGUCUUUCCUUUCUUUUCUGCAGUGUCUGCCUUGUUCCAAAUACACUCUCCACCCCUGAGUUACACCCCUGGUCCCAACCCGUGUUCCCUGAUGGCCGAUUUGCCACCUGGAGAUGAAAUUCAUGAACAAUGUGAGGCUUCAUCCUGAGAUUGCAAUCGCCAUGCUUGCAAGUGAGAGCAGCUGAACACCAACACAUGGCUUGAUCUAACAAAACCUGUCUGCUUAAUGAAAAUAAAUCAAAACUGAAAAUAAAAACAAUACUCUCACUGUAA